CCUGUAGCUCAAUGGAUAGAGCGUUGCCCUCCGGAGGCAAAAAUGCAGGUUCGAUUCCUGUCAG
Molecule: transfer RNA, 64 nt
Filed under: human gut metagenome
Rfam family: tRNA
About the family: Transfer RNA (tRNA) molecules are approximately 80 nucleotides in length. Their secondary structure includes four short double-helical elements and three loops (D, anti-codon, and T loops).
Source: RNAcentral